Molecule: ribosomal RNA, 253 nt
Filed under: uncultured bacterium
Lineage: Bacteria
Description: partial 16S ribosomal RNA
Rfam family: Bacterial small subunit ribosomal RNA
Source: RNAcentral
UACGGGGGGGGCAAGCGUUGUUCGGAAUUACUGGGCGUAAAGGGCUCGUAGGCGGCCAACUAAGUCGGAUGUGAAAUCCCCAGGCUUAACCUGGGAACUGCAUCCGAUACUGGAUGGCUUGAAUCCGGGAGAGGGAUGCAGAACUCCAGGUGUAGCGGUGAAAUGCGUAGAUAUCUGGAGGAAUACCGGUGGCGAAGGCGGCAUCCUGGACCGGCAUUGACGCUGAUGAGCGAAAGCGUGGGGAGCAAACAGG